UUUAUGGAGAGUUUGAUCCUGGCUCAGGAUGAACGCUGGCGGCGUGCCUAAUACAUGCAAGUCGAGCGAACGGACGAGAAGCUUGCUUCUCUGAUGUUAGCGGCGGACGGGUGAGUAACACGUGGAUAACCUACCUAUAAGACUGGGAUAACUUCGGGAAACCGGAGCUAAUACCGGAUAAUAUUUUGAACCGCAUGGUUCAAAAGUGAAAGACGGUCUUGCUGUCACUUAUAGAUGGAUCCGCGCUGCAUUAGCUAGUUGGUAAGGUAACGGCUUACCAAGGCAACGAUGCAUAGCCGACCUGAGAGGGUGAUCGGCCACACUGGAACUGAGACACGGUCCAGACUCCUACGGGAGGCAGCAGUAGGGAAUCUUCCGCAAUGGGCGAAAGCCUGACGGAGCAACGCCGCGUGAGUGAUGAAGGUCUUCGGAUCGUAAAACUCUGUUAUUAGGGAAGAACAUAUGUGUAAGUAACUGUGCACAUCUUGACGGUACCUAAUCAGAAAGCCACGGCUAACUACGUGCCAGCAGCCGCGGUAAUACGUAGGUGGCAAGCGUUAUCCGGAAUUAUUGGGCGUAAAGCGCGCGUAGGCGGUUUUUUAAGUCUGAUGUGAAAGCCCACGGCUCAACCGUGGAGGGUCAUUGGAAACUGGAAAACUUGAGUGCAGAAGAGGAAAGUGGAAUUCCAUGUGUAGCGGUGAAAUGCGCAGAGAUAUGGAGGAACACCAGUGGCGAAGGCGACUUUCUGGUCUGUAACUGACGCUGAUGUGCGAAAGCGUGGGGAUCAAACAGGAUUAGAUACCCUGGUAGUCCACGCCGUAAACGAUGAGUGCUAAGUGUUAGGGGGUUUCCGCCCCUUAGUGCUGCAGCUAACGCAUUAAGCACUCCGCCUGGGGAGUACGACCGCAAGGUUGAAACUCAAAGGAAUUGACGGGGACCCGCACAAGCGGUGGAGCAUGUGGUUUAAUUCGAAGCAACGCGAAGAACCUUACCAAAUCUUGACAUCCUUUGACAACUCUAGAGAUAGAGCCUUCCCCUUCGGGGGACAAAGUGACAGGUGGUGCAUGGUUGUCGUCAGCUCGUGUCGUGAGAUGUUGGGUUAAGUCCCGCAACGAGCGCAACCCUUAAGCUUAGUUGCCAUCAUUAAGUUGGGCACUCUAAGUUGACUGCCGGUGACAAACCGGAGGAAGGUGGGGAUGACGUCAAAUCAUCAUGCCCCUUAUGAUUUGGGCUACACACGUGCUACAAUGGACAAUACAAAGGGCAGCGAAACCGCGAGGUCAAGCAAAUCCCAUAAAGUUGUUCUCAGUUCGGAUUGUAGUCUGCAACUCGACUACAUGAAGCUGGAAUCGCUAGUAAUCGUAGAUCAGCAUGCUACGGCGAAUACGUUCCCGGGUCUUGUACACACCGCCCGUCACACCACGAGAGUUUGUAACACCCGAAGCCGGUGGAGUAACCUUUUAGGAGCUAGCCGUCGAAGGUGGGACAAAUGAUUGGGGUGAAGUCGUAACAAGGUAGCCGUAUCGGAAGGUGCGGCUGGAUCACCUCCUUUCU
RNAcentral lists this ribosomal RNA (1554 nucleotides) under Staphylococcus aureus. Its description in RNAcentral is "16S ribosomal RNA". It matches the Rfam family "Bacterial small subunit ribosomal RNA". Lineage: Bacteria; Bacillati; Bacillota; Bacilli; Caryophanales; Staphylococcaceae. The record is from RNAcentral.